GACGAACGCUGGCGGCGUGCUUAACACAUGCAAGUCGAACGGAAAGGCCCUGCUUUUGUGGGGUGCUCGAGUGGCGAACGGGUGAGUAACACGUGAGUAACCUGCCCUUGACUUUGGGAUAACUUCAGGAAACUGGGGCUAAUACCGGCUAGGAGCUCCUGCUGCAUGGUGGGGGUUGGAAAGUUUCGGCGGUUGGGGAUGGACUCGCGGCUUAUCAGCUUGUUGGUGGGGUAGUGGCUUACCAAGGCUUUGACGGGUAGCCGGCCUGAGAGGGUGACCGGCCACAUUGGGACUGCGAUACGGCCCAGACUCCUACGGGAGGCAGCAGUGGGGAAUAUUGCACAAUGGGCGGAAGCCUGAUGCAGCAACGCCGCGUGCGGGAUGACGGCCUUCGGGUUGUAAACCGCUUUCGCCUGUGACGAAGCGUGAGUGACGGUAAUGGGUAAAGAAGCACCGGCUAACUACGUG
Molecule: ribosomal RNA, 468 nt
Filed under: uncultured bacterium
Lineage: Bacteria
Description: partial 16S ribosomal RNA
Rfam family: Bacterial small subunit ribosomal RNA
Source: RNAcentral